This is a non-coding RNA of Oryza punctata, 206 nucleotides long. NCBI's taxonomy places the organism in Eukaryota, Viridiplantae, Streptophyta, Magnoliopsida, Poales, Poaceae. The record is from Rfam.
AAUAAGUGUAGGUUUACACUAUUUAUAUUUAAUAUUUAAUCAUCCAUCUUAUUUAAAAAAAUUAUUAUUAAUAUUUUUAUUAUUAUUAUCAGAUGAUAAAACAUGAAUAAUGUUUUAUGUGUGACUACUUUUUUAAUUUUUUCAUAAAAUUUUUAAAUAAGAUGGAUGUUAAACGUUAGAUACGGAUAUUCACGGUUGCGCUUAUU